Molecule: transfer RNA, 65 nt
Filed under: Nesophrosyne sp. 15 GMB-2012
Lineage: Eukaryota; Metazoa; Arthropoda; Insecta; Hemiptera; Cicadellidae
Description: tRNA-Arg
Source: RNAcentral
AACAUAGAAGUAAAAAAAAUUACACUUAGCUUCGACCUAAACUUUAGGAUAAACCCCUCGUGUUU